RNAcentral lists this ribosomal RNA (486 nucleotides) under uncultured bacterium. Its description in RNAcentral is "partial 16S ribosomal RNA". It matches the Rfam family "Bacterial small subunit ribosomal RNA", at positions 30 to 507 of the family's 1533-position model. The record is from RNAcentral.
AUUGAACGCUGGCGGCAUGCCUUACACAUGCAAGUCGAACGGCAGCACGGGUGCUUGCACCUGGUGGCGAGUGGCGAACGGGUGAGUAAUACAUCGGAACAUGUCCUGUAGUGGGGGAUAGCCCGGCGAAAGCCGGAUUAAUACCGCAUACGAUCUACGGAUGAAAGCGGGGGACCUUCGGGCCUCGCGCUAUAGGGUUGGCCGAUGGCUGAUUAGCUAGUUGGUGGGGUAAAGGCCUACCAAGGCGACGAUCAGUAGCUGGCCUGAGAGGACGACCAGCCACACUGGGACUGAGACACGGCCCAGACUCCUACGGGAGGCAGCAGUGGGGAAUUUUGGACAAUGGGCGAAAGCCUGAUCCAGCAAUGCCGUGUGUGUGAAGAAGGCCUUCGGGUUGUAAAGCACUUUUGUCCGGAAAGAAAUCCUUGGCCCUAAUACGGUCGGGGGAUGACGGUACCGGAAGAAUAAGCACCGGCUAACUACGUG